Molecule: ribosomal RNA, 121 nt
Filed under: Helianthus annuus (common sunflower)
Lineage: Eukaryota; Viridiplantae; Streptophyta; Magnoliopsida; Asterales; Asteraceae
Source: RNAcentral
GGUUGCGAUCAUACCAGCACUAAUGCACCGGAUCCCAUCAGAAACUCCGCAGUUAAGCGUGCUUGGGCGAAGUAGUACUAGGAUGGGUGACCCCCUGGGAAGUCCUCGUGUUGCAACCCCG